CGCCCGCCCCUUUCUAAUUAUUUGUAGCCCCGUUAGCGUCGUACAGACAAGAGCAACCGGUUUUUCUGUCAGUCAUUUGCCACUUUUUAGCCUAUAACUCAUCGGAAGAAACUGAAAGUAGAUACCAGUGAAAGUUGGAUGUAGGCUAUAAUCUAAGGAGGUGUCUUUUGUUUUUUCUCCCAGUUUUUUUGUCGACGUGAUUCGUUUGAGCCAAAAAAAACAAAAAAAAACAUUUCGACUCCCGACUGUAUGGAGUGUGAAUGUUAACGGUGUCUGGAAUUUUUUAAAAAUAAAUUUCAAUGCUAUAGUGAAAGUGGGGUAGGCUUUAAUAUCAUUCUUGAACUUGGGAAAGAUAUUUCGUGAACUUGGGAAAAUGAUUACGAGGCUCUGAUAAUGACUAAGCUCAAUCUUUUGUUUCGGUUUUCCAUGCCGAUUGAUUUAAUUAAUCGACAGUUUUAUCCGUGAGUGGGUUGGGCAAUGAAGAGGCGAAAAAUUGAAUUUUUAUUUUUAAAAAAUAUUUUAAAACUAGAUAUUUCUUUUCUCCGUAAUUAAAGAGAUGCUAGUUCGUGACUCCGUUUAAUUAGCAAUGUUUGAUUUCGCUUUUAAUUGUCGCAGCAAAAAGUUGUUGGUGCACUUGACAAUUAUUGGCGUUGCGCGCUAAACCCGGAAUUAAUUUGUACCUGUUUGGUUUCAUCUGCGUGUAACAAUUAAACGCAUUUGGGCGACCGAGAAAAGAGUUUCCUGAUUGCACUACACGCCGUGUCCACCGGAUCAUUGCAAGUUUGUGUCGUUUUUGGGAAAGUUUGUCCAAAACCAGUCGAGUGUGUCAUUUUUUAUCCCCUACUUCUUCCUCGUUCAACGCUUUUUGGUCAUGUGUACUCUAUACACACACAUACACAUGCAGGUAUUUUACAUAAAUCGUUGACAUACCGUCAAAUUUUCUCCGAUUGAAUUCGACAUUUUUCAUCCGAUUUAGACAAUUCUUGGUAGAUGGUCGCCAUUAUUUCUUGGUUUCUAUGUCCCAUCAUCAUUAGAUUCGCAGUUUAGAAAACUGGAAUCUACAUUACUGGCUUUUUAUUUAGUCCAGUUUUCGUCUCAGGCUUAAUUUGCAUGAGGUGGCAAUUGAAAUUCGAGAAGGGCGGGGAUUUGGGAAAGUUUUCAAUCCUUGACGUCAGGUUUUUUGUUUGUUGUUUCUUUCCAAGUUGAUCUCCGUCCAAAGAUUGGGGCAUAACACAAACGCAAGUGAUCGUUUUACACAAUCAGGUGCGAAUCCCAAAAAAGGCGUAACUGUCCUAAUAAUACUGAUUCGGUAGGUUGUGUAAGCGCGUGGGCCUCGAGGCUGGGCGGGCAUCGCCAGUAGCGUGAAUGCACUUUGAUAUGCGCCUGCUGGCUCACGUAUACGAAUUGCACCGCCAGUUGGCCACGACAUUAUGAAUUGGGCUCCCCUUUUUUGGUAGGUGUUAAUUAAUUACCUUUGCAUAGUUUCGGGUCGAGAAAUUUAAUCUUUGCCAUCGAAUUUAGCGAUUGUGAAGCGGACACGUAUUUCUUUAGAAAAAAAUUCAAACGGGUUUGCUAUUUUAUUUCUUGGAAAUUAUUUGUAUCGACUCCGGAUAUCCGAGUCAUAACAAGAAUUUCGAAAAUUUUGAUCGAUUGAUUUGAGAAAUUUGGUUAUCGCCGAAUUAGAAAUGUCAAGUGAAAAUAGAUUUGAUUAAUUCAGAAAAUUAUUGACGCUAAUGUUGCGUGCGUAUGCGUACCCUGUAACCGUACGAUAAAAAUUUAUUUUGGCAGCCAGCGAACUGAAAUUGGAAAUCUGUGCCCAAACAAAGUUUUGGAGGUGUUUCUUUUACUUUUUAUUUUCUUUGAAAUCAAGCACUAGUAGGAGAACUACUUUUACCUUUUUCCACCUAAUCGAGAGCUAAGUUAAUCGUAUCGUAAUCUCUGGAGCGACUCAUUGCGUAAAUAUAUCGUCGUCGUCUGUUGGGAGAGGUUUCCUGCUGAGCAUUGCGUACUGCGUUCUCGAUUGGAUAUAUAUGCAAAUGAUGUUGAGAGUCGAUUCGAAAAAAAAAAGUCUUGACCGGAGAUCGCUUUCUUUUUCGUGAUUGACUUGACGAAAAUAAAAGGUGCUUUGUUGUUUUGUUUUUGCUACUGUUCUCAUUUCCAAGAUUACUCUGUUUUUUUGUUGUUUCUAUUCUUUCUUCUUAAUUUAUGCCCUCUCUCCUCUGUUUAAUAAUGGAUGUCAAUUCAUUUAAUUUAUCGUUUACGACGAACUAGCCACAAAUGAAUAUGGAGUGGUUUUUUUUUUUUUUUUUUUUUUUUGUGGGGGGGGGGGGGGGAUAUGAUGGAACUCUAUUUCCCCUUCGGAACUUGUGAACGGUGUAUUUUAUAGAUGGCUAAAAACAAUGCCACUCAAUCGAUUUUUUUAGUUUUCUUCUCUUUAUUACCUUCUUUUCAUUUGCAUUGAUCAUUUGGCGAAAUUUAGUUGUGUAUUCAUCGUUUCAAAUCACAGGAAUUUACAUUCCCUCCUUCCUUCUUAGUCGUCUGUUGGGAAAAGAGACCAGAAAGAAAAUUUCAAGUCCAGUACGCAGUUAUUGUGAGCUGCAGCUCAACUACGCCAACACGAGGAACUACGCAAGCUUGCGCGACGAUUGCGCGACGAUUGCUGACCCACAAGAGCUCCUGCCCGUUCCUU
Molecule: long non-coding RNA, 2689 nt
Filed under: Daphnia pulicaria
Lineage: Eukaryota; Metazoa; Arthropoda; Branchiopoda; Diplostraca; Daphniidae
Description: uncharacterized LOC124326840
Source: RNAcentral